UGAACGCUAGCGACAGGCUUAACACAUGCAAGUCGAGGGGCAGCGGGGGUAGCAAUACCCGCCGGCGACCGGCGCACGGGUGAGUAACGCGUAUGCAACUUACCUAUCAGAGGGGGAUAACCCGGCGAAAGUCGGACUAAUACCGCAUGAAGCAGGGGCCCCGCAUGGGGAUAUUUGCUAAAGAUUCAUCGCUGAUAGAUAGGCAUGCGUUCCAUUAGGCAGUUGGCGGGGUAACGGCCCACCAAACCGACGAUGGAUAGGGGUUCUGAGAGGAAGGUCCCCCACAUUGGUACUGAGACACGGACCAAACUCCUACGGGAGGCAGCAGUGAGGAAUAUUGGUCAAUGGCCGAGAGGCUGAACCAGCCAAGUCGCGUGAGGGAUGAAGGUUCUAUGGAUCGUAAACCUCUUUUAUAAGGGAAUAAAGUGCGGGACGUGUCCCGUUUUGUAUGUACCUUAUGAAUAAGGAUCGGCUAACUCCGUGCCAGCAGCCGCGGUAAUACGGAGGAUCCGAGCGUUAUCCGGAUUUAUUGGGUUUAAAGGGUGCGUAGGCGGCCUUUUAAGUCAGCGGUGAAAGUCUGUGGCUCAACCAUAGAAUUGCCGUUGAAACUGGGGGGCUUGAGUAUGUUUGAGGCAGGCGGAAUGCGUGGUGUAGCGGUGAAAUGCAUAGAUAUCACGCAGAACCCCGAUUGCGAAGGCAGCCUGCCAAGCCAUUACUGACGCUGAUGCACGAAAGCGUGGGGAUCAAACAGGAUUAGAUACCCUGGUAGUCCACGCAGUAAACGAUGAUCACUAGCUGUUUGCGAUACACUGUAAGCGGCACAGCGAAAGCGUUAAGUGAUCCACCUGGGGAGUACGCCGGCAACGGUGAAACUCAAAGGAAUUGACGGGGGCCCGCACAAGCGGAGGAACAUGUGGUUUAAUUCGAUGAUACGCGAGGAACCUUACCCGGGUUUGAACGCAUUCGGACCGAGGUGGAAACACCUUUUCUAGCAAUAGCCGUUUGCGAGGUGCUGCAUGGUUGUCGUCAGCUCGUGCCGUGAGGUGUCGGCUUAAGUGCCAUAACGAGCGCAACCCUUGCCACUAGUUACUAACAGGUGAUGCUGAGGACUCUGGUGGGACUGCCAGCGUAAGCUGCGAGGAAGGCGGGGAUGACGUCAAAUCAGCACGGCCCUUACAUCCGGGGCGACACACGUGUUACAAUGGCGUGGACAAAGGGAGGCCACCUGGCGACAGGGAGCGAAUCCCCAAACCACGUCUCAGUUCGGAUCGGAGUCUGCAACCCGACUCCGUGAAGCUGGAUUCGCUAGUAAUCGCGCAUCAGCCAUGGCGCGGUGAAUACGUUCCCGGGCCUUGUACACACCGCCCGUCAAGCCAUGGGAGCCGGGGGUACCUGAAGUCCGUAACCGAAAGGAUCGGCCUAGGGUAAAACUGGUGACUGG
RNAcentral lists this ribosomal RNA (1441 nucleotides) under uncultured organism. RNAcentral describes it as "16S ribosomal RNA". It matches the Rfam family "Bacterial small subunit ribosomal RNA". The record is from RNAcentral.